RNAcentral lists this ribosomal RNA (429 nucleotides) under Pseudomonadota bacterium. RNAcentral describes it as "Proteobacteria bacterium partial 16S ribosomal RNA". It matches the Rfam family "Bacterial small subunit ribosomal RNA", at positions 355 to 776 of the family's 1533-position model. The record is from RNAcentral. Lineage: Bacteria; Pseudomonadati; Pseudomonadota.
UGGGGAAUAUUGGACAAUGGGCGAAAGCCUGAUCCAGCCAUGCCGCGUGUGUGAAGAAGGUCUUCGGAUUGUAAAGCACUUUAAGUUGGGAGGAAGGGCAGUAAGCGAAUACCUUGCUGUUUUGACGUUACCGACAGAAUAAGCACCGGCUAACUCUGUGCCAGCAGCCGCGGUAAUACAGAGGGUGCAAGCGUUAAUCGGAAUUACUGGGCGUAAAGCGCGCGUAGGUGGUUCGUUAAGUUGAAUGUGAAAGCCCCGGGCUCAACCUGGGAACUGCAUCUGAAACUGGCGAGCUAGAGUAGGGCAGAGGGUGGUGGAAUUUCCUGUGUAGCGGUGAAAUGCGUAGAUAUAGGAAGGAACACCAGUGGCGAAGGCGACCACCUGGGCUCAUACUGACACUGAGGUGCGAAAGCGUGGGGAGCAAACAGG